Molecule: non-coding RNA, 298 nt
Organism: Cajanus cajan (pigeon pea)
Lineage: Eukaryota; Viridiplantae; Streptophyta; Magnoliopsida; Fabales; Fabaceae
Source: RefSeq, a predicted model, not a curated record
AAAGGAGGCACAUCAGGACGGGUUGGCUCUUUACGCUAGGAAUCCCUAACUCACACUCACACAAAUCACACCAGCCACCGCCCACCGCAAGUGAAUAGGUUCUGGGCAAUCGAGAAGACCUGGUUUAAUUUUGUUGAGGUGGUUGAUAUUCAUUGUUCCUCUAGUUGAACAAAAUUUCGUCAACAUAAGCAGAAAGGCUAAGUAAAAGGCAAUGGUGGGUUCCAAGAACUCUUGGCUGGGGCUUCGUGAACUGAGGUUUUGAUGCUAGUUUGGUGGUAUUCUCAUUUAUACUGACUAC